This 71-nucleotide transfer RNA is filed under the name Loxodonta africana (African savanna elephant). It matches the Rfam family "tRNA". From Rfam's summary of the family: Transfer RNA (tRNA) molecules are approximately 80 nucleotides in length. Lineage: Eukaryota; Metazoa; Chordata; Mammalia; Proboscidea; Elephantidae. The record is from Rfam by way of RNAcentral.
GCAAUGGUGGCUCACUGGUAGAAUUCUCGCCUUCCACGCAGGAGACCCAAGUUCAAUUCCUGGCCAAUGUG